GAGUCCACGCUGGUCCAUCCGCUGUACUACGGCGUGCCGGUGAGCGUCACCUGGUCGACGGGCCUGCUGCUGCCGGUGUGCUGGCAGCCAAAGGCGCCUGUGCCUGUACCUGCUCGAGUAUUGGCUCGCCAGCGUGGACACGUGGAUCCUUGACAUUCUUCUCAUCAUCAUCAGGAUUUAUGCCAGACGGUGGGCCCUCGUUCACGCGUACAGACUUCUGCGAGGCCUGGGCUUCGAGUCCUAUGGAAUCCGACCUGGAUCCGCAGCA
Molecule: long non-coding RNA, 268 nt
Filed under: Dermacentor andersoni
Lineage: Eukaryota; Metazoa; Arthropoda; Arachnida; Ixodida; Ixodidae
Description: uncharacterized LOC126521409
Source: RNAcentral